This is a long non-coding RNA of Erinaceus europaeus (western European hedgehog), 1116 nucleotides long. RefSeq lists it as uncharacterized. The record is from RefSeq and is a predicted model, not a curated record. Lineage: Eukaryota; Metazoa; Chordata; Mammalia; Eulipotyphla; Erinaceidae. The transcript has 3 exons.
UUGCCCUCACUGUUGCCCUGGCUAGGGGUCCCGGGCUUCCGGGUGGCCCCGUCCUUGGCUCAGGCUCCAGCACCACGGCCUGCAGGGACUCCCACAAGCCUCUGGCCCUGUCCCAACAGCAGCCCCCCAGGCCAGCUGGCCCUGCUUCAGUGGCUCAUUGUCAGCCAGACGUCUGGCUCCACCCGGGCUAUGACGGGGCUGAGGUCACCUGGGGCCGAGAGGCAGCCUCCCUCGGUGUAGACCUGGGCUGCUACGAGCAGGAGCCGCAGGCACGAGCCUGAACUAGAGUGGAGUCGGGUGGGGAGAAGGAACGUGGCGGCUUCAACCCCAGGAGCUCCUCGCCCCUUUCUGGAAGCUCCCAGUCUGAUGGGGUAACACCUCCCGCCUCGGGGCACCACCCAGACGGCAGGCUUCCUCCUAAGGGAGCCCCGAUUCAGGUGGGUGGACGAAGGGCCUCUGUCCCUGAGCAGGUGCCCUUGCUGACAGAGAGCAGAGCUGAGGCCGCGCCAGCUGGUCCUCUAGGCUCUCGUGCCAGCACUGGCGUUUGGCAAACAGUGGCUACACCGGCUUGCCCGCCAGUGCCCUCCCGGAACCUCCCCAGCUUCCUCCCAGCGAGCAAAUAGUCUGGUCUGAUGGCCGAGUCCCACACGCUGACUGGGCCCUGCCUCUGUGGAGUCCCUGAGCUGACAGACACGUCCCUAAAUGGACUUCCUUUUUUUUUUUUUUCUUUUCUUUUGCCUCCAGGGUUAUCUCGGGACCUCAGUGUGAAUCCACUGCUUCUGGAGAAAUGGAGAGAGGAGGGAGAGGUGUGCCCCUGCCCGCCGCCCCCCAGUGGAUCUUCUGUUCUCCCCAGUGUUCACAGCUCUUGCUUCUCAGGCCUGAAGGCAGAACCUCCCUCUGGAGACUUCCUUUUGCCUCGAGUGCAGGUCCAAGAAGGAAACAGAUUGAGCCAGGCGGUGGCGCACCUGGUUGAGCGCACGUUAUUAUGUACAAGGACCUGGUUCAACUCCCCAGGCCCCACCUGCAGGAGGAAAGCUUUACACGUGGUGAAGCAGGACUGCAGGUGUCUGUCAUCCUCUCUCCCUAUCACUCCUCCUCUCUCAAUUUCUGGCUGUC